AUCCAGCUGACGAGUCAUAAAUAGGACGAAAUGCGCAUCAUACUAGAU
RNAcentral lists this non-coding RNA (48 nucleotides) under Schistosoma mattheei. Lineage: Eukaryota; Metazoa; Platyhelminthes; Trematoda; Strigeidida; Schistosomatidae. The record is from RNAcentral.